UAGGGAAUCUUCCACAAUGGGCGAAAGCCUGAUGGAGCAACGCCGCGUGUGUGAUGAAGGGUUUCGGCUCGUAAAACACUGUUGUAAGAGAAGAAUGACAUUGAGAGUAACUGUUCAAUGUGUGACGGUAUCUUACCAGAAAGGAACGGCUAAACACGUGCCAC
This 164-nucleotide ribosomal RNA is filed under the name uncultured bacterium. Its description in RNAcentral is "partial 16S rRNA". It matches the Rfam family "Bacterial small subunit ribosomal RNA", at positions 355 to 511 of the family's 1533-position model. The record is from RNAcentral.